AAUUAAUAUCUUUCAAUAACUACUUUGAAAGUAAAUGGAAUAAAUGCUCUAAUCAGAAGACAUAGGGCUAGGGCACCUGGGUGGCUCAGUGAG
Molecule: long non-coding RNA, 93 nt
Organism: Mustela erminea (ermine)
Lineage: Eukaryota; Metazoa; Chordata; Mammalia; Carnivora; Mustelidae
Exons: 3
Source: RefSeq, a predicted model, not a curated record